RNAcentral lists this long non-coding RNA (617 nucleotides) under Rattus norvegicus (Norway rat). RNAcentral's name for it is "long non-coding RNA NONRATT008778". The record is from RNAcentral. Lineage: Eukaryota; Metazoa; Chordata; Mammalia; Rodentia; Muridae.
GUACAAAUUGUUUGCAAUUAAGGCUACAGCCUUCAGAAUAAUCAGAGCACCAUCACCUGUGCUGAACAGGGCUGGUCCAAUCCUCCCAAAUGCAUUUCCCCCAAUAAUUCCUGUGUGAAUCCACCACAUGUGCCAAAUGCUGUUAUACUAACAAGGCACAAGGCUAAAUAUCCAUCUGGUGACACAGUACGUUAUGAAUGUAAUAAACCUUUUGAACUAUUUGGGGAUAUGGAAGUGAUGUGUCAAAAUGGGAUUUGGACAGAACCACCGACAUGCAAAGACUCAACAGGGAAAUGUGGGCCUCCUCCACCUAUUGACAAUGGAGACAUCACCUCCUUGUCAUUACCAGUAUAUGCACCAUUAUCAUCAGUUGAAUAUCAGUGCCAGAACUAUUUUUUACUUAAGGGAAAUAAGAUAAUAACAUGCAGAAAUGGAAAGUGGUCUAACCCACCGACCUGCUUACGUGCAUGUGUGAUAUCAGAAGAUAUUAUGGCAAAACAUAAUAUAGUUCUCAGAUGGAGGGAAAAUACAAAGACUUAUUCCCAAUCGGGGGAGAAUAUUGAAUUCAUGUGUAAACCUGGAUAUGGAAAAUUCAGAGGAUCACCUCCAUUUCGUAC